AACGAACGCUGGCGGCAUGCCUAACACAUGCAAGUCGAACGAAGGCUUCGGCCUUAGUGGCGCACGGGUGCGUAACGCGUGGGAAUCUGCCCUCUGGUACGGAAUAACUCAGGGAAACUUGAGCUAAUACCGUAUAAUGACUUCGGUCCAAAGAUUUAUCGCCUGAGGAUGAGCCCGCGUCGGAUUAGCUAGUUGGUGAGGUAAAAGCUCACCAAGGCGACGAUCCGUAGCUGGUCUGAGAGGAUGAUCAGCCACACUGGGACUGAGACACGGCCCAGACUCCUACGGGAGGCAGCAGUGGGGAAUAUUGGACAAUGGGCGAAAGCCUGAUCCAGCAAUGCCGCGUGAGUGAUGAAGGCCUUAGGGUUGUAAAGCUCUUUUACCCGGGAUGAUAAUGACAGUACCGGGAGAAUAACGCCCCGGCUAACUCCGUGCCAGCAGCCGCAGUAAU
This 451-nucleotide ribosomal RNA is filed under the name uncultured bacterium. Its description in RNAcentral is "bacterial SSU rRNA". It matches the Rfam family "Bacterial small subunit ribosomal RNA", at positions 29 to 524 of the family's 1533-position model. The record is from RNAcentral.